CUCUGGAUGGCUUGCGCCACCGUGGAGCCCUUCUGUCAAGGAAUGUAUGUGGCGUCUCAGGCACCAUACAUUGGCAAGAGAUUUGGAAAAGCCUGUUACUGACUUCUGUUCACCAUCUUGUCCAUCGGAAUGAAGUAAGAUUCUCUUUGAAAAUGGUACCCAUGCAGAAGAACGGUGAAUAGAACGAAGGAAAGCAGUGGUGUGGUUCCUCCUGUGUUGCAGUGUUCCCAGCAGUCUUGAUUCUCUGAUCCUGGUAUCCUAAUCACUGGAUCACACCUCAGAGUCAUUCUUCUCUUCUGGUAAAAAGAGGAAAAUACCUUCAAAGUGAAGAUUUCCCUUACAAAAAGG
This is a long non-coding RNA of Camelus dromedarius (Arabian camel), 348 nucleotides long. RefSeq lists it as uncharacterized. NCBI's taxonomy places the organism in Eukaryota, Metazoa, Chordata, Mammalia, Artiodactyla, Camelidae. The transcript is spliced from 4 exons. The record is from RefSeq and is a predicted model, not a curated record.